RNAcentral lists this ribosomal RNA (497 nucleotides) under uncultured bacterium. RNAcentral's name for it is "partial 16S ribosomal RNA". It matches the Rfam family "Bacterial small subunit ribosomal RNA", at positions 28 to 507 of the family's 1533-position model. The record is from RNAcentral.
GAUGAACGCUGGCGGCGUGCCUAAUACAUGCAAGUCGAGCGAACAGACGAGGUGCUUGUUCCUCUGACGUUAGCGGCGGACGGGUGAGUAACGCGUGGAUAACCUACUUAUAAGACUGGGAUAACUUCGGGAAACCGGAGCUAAUACCGCAUAAUAUAUUGAACCGCAUGGUUCAAUAGUGAAAGACGCUUUUGCUGCCACUAAUAGAUGGAUCCCGGUCGCUUUAGUUGGUUGGUAAGGUAACGGCCUACCAAGGGGACGUUGCGUACCCGACCUGAGAGGGGGAUCGGCCACAUGGGAACGAGAACACGCUCAAGCCUCCUACGGGAGGCAGCAGUGGGGAACCUUCGGCAAUGGGCGAAAGCCUGACGGAGCAACGCGGCGUGGGUGAGGAAGGUCUUCGGUUCGUAAAACUCUGUUGUUGGGGAAGAACAAAUGUGGAAGUAAAUAUGCACGUCUUGACGGUACCUAAUCAGAAAGCCACGGCUAACUACGUG